Molecule: ribosomal RNA, 460 nt
Filed under: uncultured bacterium
Lineage: Bacteria
Description: partial 16S ribosomal RNA
Rfam family: Bacterial small subunit ribosomal RNA
Source: RNAcentral
CCUACGGGAGGCAGCAGUGAGGAAUAUUGGUCAAUGGGCGCGAGCCUGAACCAGCCAAGUCGCGUGAAGGAUGACUGCCCUACGGGUUGUAAACUUCUUUUAUAAAGGAAUAAAGUGAGGCACGUGUGCCUCUUUGUAUGUACCUUAUGAAUAAGGAUCGGCUAACUCCGUGCCAGCAGCCGCGGUAAUACGGAGGAUCCGAGCGUUAUCCGGAUUUAUUGGGUUUAAAGGGAGCGUAGAUGGGUUGUUAAGUCAGUUGUGAAAGUUUGCGGCUCAACCGUAAAAUUGCAAUUGAUACUGGCAGCCUUGAGUACAGUAGAGGUAGGCGGAAUGCGUGGUGUAGCGGUGAAAUGCUUAGAGAUCACGAAGAACUCCGAUUGCGAAGGCAGCUUACUAAACUGCCACUGACAUUGAGGCUCGAAAGUGUGGGUAUCGAACAGGAUUAGAUACCCGAGUAGUC